This 72-nucleotide transfer RNA is filed under the name Candidatus Woesearchaeota archaeon. RNAcentral's name for it is "tRNA-Thr". It matches the Rfam family "tRNA". Rfam says of the family: Transfer RNA (tRNA) molecules are approximately 80 nucleotides in length. Their secondary structure includes four short double-helical elements and three loops (D, anti-codon, and T loops). Further hydrogen bonds mediate the characteristic L-shaped molecular structure. tRNAs have two regions of fundamental functional importance: the anti-codon, which is responsible for specific mRNA codon recognition, and the 3' end, to which the tRNAs corresponding amino acid is attached (by aminoacyl-tRNA synthetases). tRNAs cope with the degeneracy of the genetic code in two manners: having more than one tRNA (with a specific anti-codon) for a particular amino acid; and 'wobble' base-pairing, i.e. permitting non-standard base-pairing at the 3rd anti-codon position. The record is from RNAcentral. Lineage: Archaea; Nanobdellati; Candidatus Woesearchaeota.
GCCUCUGUAGCAUAGUGGUGGUGCGGCUGACUCGUAAUCAGCAGGUCGGGAGUUCAAAUCUCCCCAGAGGCU